Molecule: long non-coding RNA, 867 nt
Organism: Mastomys coucha (southern multimammate mouse)
Lineage: Eukaryota; Metazoa; Chordata; Mammalia; Rodentia; Muridae
Exons: 6
Source: RefSeq, a predicted model, not a curated record
GCCAGCCCUAAGAGCUAUUGACUAAAGGUUGCUGUCUUCUUCUUCACAUUUUUCCCCUGUCUGAGCCCAAAUCCUUUUCUGGAGAGAGGGCAGAGUGUUGCAGAGAGCUGGAAGUUUUGACUCUUGAUGGAUCUGAACCACCUCCUUUCACUUUGGCUGGAAGGAACUUUCACAAGAAUAGCAAAAGGAAAACUGUGAUCUCUCACCAAAAUGUCCAGAAAAUAAACAACCUUAGAAACUUUGCUACUUCUCGUGGAUCUUUUUACUUUCCUCUGGGGGAAUACAGAGUCUUGUUUCAACCAAAGACUGUGUAUAAAGGAAAUGAUCUGUGAUCUUGGAGCAGCAUGGAUUCUGCAUAAUGGUGAUCACAUGUUCCAAUUCAUCCUCAUCGAGCUCUCAAACCUUCUUGAUGGCACUUGCAAGUGUGUCUUAUCACCAGAAUUGACCGGGAAGAGGGGGAGGGUGUUCUAAGCAUCUCCAGAUGUAAAUAUGACAACUGAAAAUCUCAAAAUUUCAAUUUUGAGUGCAGUAGCCAUUAAUAGAAAGCCAGAAGAUCCAAGGAUACCCAGACACUUGUCUCACGGCAGGUGGAUCCAAAUGUAUAUCUAUCAAGGAAUUAGUAGACAAGUUGUGCUAGUUAUUUAAGAAGAUGGAGAAAUAUGUGAAAUUUACAUUGAAGAUGAGCACAUCACCCCCUGGCAGGACAUUCCAGAAGAGCUGAUGAGGAGAUUGGGCAGGAUCUUGCUCACAUGGCUAAGAAGUUUCACAGGGGGGACUACCUGGAAGCGCUUACUAGAAAUCUCUGUUAGCACGUACACUUUUACAAGUCUGAACUUAAAAAGGCAGGUGUGAAUGCCACCCUUGCCU